This is a long non-coding RNA of Mauremys reevesii (Reeves's turtle), 840 nucleotides long. RefSeq lists it as uncharacterized. The record is from RefSeq and is a predicted model, not a curated record. The transcript is spliced from 6 exons. NCBI's taxonomy places the organism in Eukaryota, Metazoa, Chordata, Testudines, Geoemydidae.
UUGAAGACUAGGUAAUAUACAUUGUUGCUUUGAAGUAAACCUCCUAUUUCCUAUGUAUACAUAGGUAAACUAGUAGUAUUAGUUAACAUAAGGCAAUUAACCAUUCAAACUAUCAAGGCAUUCCAUUAUGGAACAGAUGAUUUAAGAUGAAGACAAUGUUUAGGUACCAGACUGGAGGUAUUCACUGAAGUAGCAUCCUCAAAGGUGUUUCUUAGGACCAGAAAACUUUCACUCAUUUUUAUUAUGUAUCUGUCAGCUGGAAAAAGAGAGGAAUACAAAGGGAGCUGUGGCGCUAGAACAAAGCAGCAGCUCACAGCCAGCUAAAGAAGAGAGAGCCUGCCUUCUUCACAUCGCCUGUCAAGCCAGCUGUUUCCUGUGCAACUUUGGAAUAUAUAUUUACCAGUGAUAUCAGCCGAACAUCUGAAGGAAGGUUUUGGCGGCCAAUGCAGAGGAAUUAUAAUUUUUACAGCCUUGAAAAAAAAUCUCUGUUUUGUAGCAGUGAACAAAGAGAACACUUCCACUCGGCUUAGCUGUGUUACUUCAACAAUGCAUAUAACUGCAGUCACAAUUCACAGAUGCAUCGAUUUUAAGGCCACCAGGGAACCAUGGGAUGAUCUAAUCUGACUAUCUGUAUAAUACAGGCAAUUGAAUUUUAUGAUGACUAAAGCAUGUCUUCCAGAAAGGUCCCAAUCUGAAGACUUCAACUGAUGGAGAAUCCACCACUUCUCUUGGCAGUUUGUUUCAAUGAUUUAUCAGUGAUACUGUUAACAGUGUGUGACUUAGUUCUAAUUUGAAUUUGUCUGCUUUUAACUUCCAGUCCUUGGUUCUUGUAAUGACCUU